CCUACGGGUGGCAGCAGUGAGGAAUAUUGGUCAAUGGACGCGAGUCUGAACCAGCCAAGUAGCGUGAAGGAUGACUGCCCUAUGGGUUGUAAACUUCUUUUAUAAGGGAAUAAAACGAGUCACGUGUGCCUUUUUGCAUGUACUUUAUGAAUAAGGAUCGGCUAACUCCGUGCCAGCAGCCGCGGUAAUACGGAGGAUCCGAGCGUUAUCCGGAUUUAUUGGGUUUAAAGGGAGCGUAGAGGGGUUGGUAAGUCAGUUGUGAAAGUUUGCGGCUUAACCGUAAAAUUGCAAUUGAUACUGGCAGGCUUGAGUAUAGUUGAGGUAGGCGGAAUACGUGGUGUAGCGGUGAAAUGCUUAGAUAUGACGAAGAACUCCGAUGGCGAAGGCAGCGUACUAAACUGCGACUGACAUUGAUGCUCGAAAGUGUGGGUAGCAAACAGGAUUAGAUACCCGGGUAGUC
This 460-nucleotide ribosomal RNA is filed under the name uncultured bacterium. RNAcentral describes it as "partial 16S ribosomal RNA". It matches the Rfam family "Bacterial small subunit ribosomal RNA", at positions 338 to 795 of the family's 1533-position model. The record is from RNAcentral.